CCUGGUGAUUGAUAUGCAUGUGUGCGUAUGGGUGUUUGUUUGGUGGAUGACGUAUCACUAUGAUUUCAAGGCCAGAUGACUUUCUUUGAAGAGGACAAACGAGAGUUCGAAUGAGUGCAUGUGUGUGAGGUGAACUGGAUUGAUCAGGUCAUUGUAUGAAGGCCAACUUGAUAAAAAUGCAGGAAUACAAAGAUAGUCGUAAGUCUUGGCUCUGCAUGAUAUGCACUCUGUUCCAUUCCAGGGAAUUCCUUCUGAGAAGUUGGAUUUCUCUGUAUUCACCAUGUGGCACACAGACAGAACCCUCUCAUAGAGAUAGUUUCUCGAAUGCUCAAGCGUGUUGCAGGAAAUUUGGUUUUCAGAGAGAAGCUCCUGUCCAAACACAAUCCUGUUACCGCAGCUCAUCUGGACAAAUGUUUGUCUGCAACCCUCUUGGAUGUCAUUUCUCUUAG
Cyprinus carpio (common carp) is the source of this 449-nucleotide long non-coding RNA. The record is from Ensembl. NCBI's taxonomy places the organism in Eukaryota, Metazoa, Chordata, Actinopteri, Cypriniformes, Cyprinidae.